This 253-nucleotide ribosomal RNA is filed under the name uncultured bacterium. Its description in RNAcentral is "partial 16S ribosomal RNA". It matches the Rfam family "Bacterial small subunit ribosomal RNA", at positions 524 to 776 of the family's 1533-position model. The record is from RNAcentral.
UACGUAGGGGGCAAGCGUUGUCCGGAAUCAUUGGGCGUAAAGAGCGCGUAGGCGGCCCUGUAAGUCCGCUGUGAAAGUCAAGGGCUCAACCCUUGGAUGCCGGUGGAUACUGCAGGGCUAGAGUCCGGAAGAGGCGAGUGGAAUUCCUGGUGUAGCGGUGAAAUGCGCAGAUAUCUGGAAGAACACCGGUGGCGAAGGCGGUCAACUGGCCCUGAACUGACGCUCAGGCACGAAAGCGUGGGGAUCAAACAGG